Molecule: long non-coding RNA, 797 nt
Organism: Dreissena polymorpha
Lineage: Eukaryota; Metazoa; Mollusca; Bivalvia; Myida; Dreissenidae
Exons: 3
Source: RefSeq, a predicted model, not a curated record
UAAUAAUUGUAAAACAAAUACGGUAUUUUUUCAACUUUUCUUCGUCGUGGUCGUGAUUGACGUGACCUUUAAAAACGUUUUCAGAUGCUGUGUUUCCUAUCAAAUGGACAUUCCCUGAUGCUUUAAUUCAUCGUAAGUUCAGUAUCAAGUCAGAUGUAUGGUCAUACGGUGUUCUCCUGUAUGAGAUGAUCAACUUUGGUAAUGAACCAAGCUCAGGGUUUCUCUUGAAAGUAGUACACUUUACUUGAGUUCAAGUUCAGUAUCAAGUCAGAUGUAUGGGCAUACGGUGUUAUCCUGUAUGAGAUGAUCAGCUUUGGUAAUGAGCCAUAUUCAGGGACUUAACUCUUUGAAGAAAGGGAACAACUUGCCUAAAACCACGGAUGGUCCCAUUCCGUGCCCAGACCCAUUUUACGAGCUCAUGUUGACGUGCUGGAACCGAAAGCCUGAGAACCGACCAACCUUCGACUACCUUCGAGAUUUUUCAACGACUAUGCAGUAUAUACAGAAAAUUAUUAUCAAAAUUUGUGUUAUUGGAAGUGAUAAUAUAUAAAUGUUGAAAUUUUAAAUAGCACAAAGGCAAUAACAGUAAAAAUACUGUAUCGUUAUUAUCAGCAUCAUUAUGAAUAUCAUCAUUUUUAUCAGUAUGGAUAUGACUGAUGUUUUAUUAAAAUCAAUAACGCACUUCUGUGAGCACAUCCUAUCGAUGAUUGUAAGUUACAAUUUAUGAUUUUUUGGUAAUGCACUAUUCAAAGAAUAUUUUGAUAUAAUUGUGUCGUACUAGCAUAAUUAAACUAGAA